Non-coding RNA from Zootoca vivipara (common lizard), 5836 nucleotides. Lineage: Eukaryota; Metazoa; Chordata; Lepidosauria; Squamata; Lacertidae. The record is from RefSeq and is a predicted model, not a curated record.
ACUGCAAUCUAUAGAGCUGGAGUGGGUGUUUGCAAAGUGAUUGUGAUUUUGUAGACACUGAAUGAUAAAGAAUGAACUUGCUAUUUGGAGAUGAAUGACUGGAUGUGGUUCAGAGGAUGACUGCUGUGGUUACUACUAGCUGGUUUAUUUUUGGGAUGGAAAUCAGCUGUUUGUAGUAUGUUCUGAUACCUUUUAGGCACUUGCGUCAAUAUUGCAGGUGGCAAUCUCUGGGGAAAUGUACAAUUUCUUUAAUGAGGCUGUUUGUUUAAGGAGCUUUUGAUACUGCAGACUUCGAUCAGCCCCAGCCAGCAAAGCCAGAGACAGACAAUGAACUGCAUACAAAGGAGGAAGAACCACCCAUCACCUCGCUCUUUUCGUGUUUCGCAGCCCCUCUGCAUGUUCUGGAAUAUUGAAGGAAUUUUCAUUUAUUGUUAAAGAAGAAGGUUUGCUGCUUUCCACAACAUGACAUCUUAACCUGGAACAAAUAGAAACAACAGAGCAGUGAAAUGUAGUACAAUUGUAAGAGGACAUGGUUAUUUUUUCUUUCUUUCUCCAAGCCUCUUCUGCUUCAUAGAUUCCAUUCCCUGCUGGUAUUUGUUUCAUAUGUUCAAUGAUGCAGCCUUUAUUUCUGCUUCCCUUCCUUGCCCCUGCCCACCACAGUGACCAACAAAGAGAAGAUCAUCAAUUAUAACAGUGCUGGACUCAAAGGGAAACCUAACCAUAUUGCUGAGGAACCAGCAAUCAGAAGGACAAGAUUACCUGCACAAAACAUAAAUGGUAAUGGUUUGGUAAGCUUGUAUAGGCACUGACUAGCUACAGACAGUGACAUGCUAGGGAGAACACAAUCUGAAAGGGAGUGAUGAGAACACUAUUUGGGAGACUGGAUCUCAUCUUCAGCUGUGCACAUGUACUAGAUUUGAAAGGGAAAGGAAGGAGGCUUGGAAGGGCAAUAGAUGAUUCUGGCUGGAUCUAGACACAUCAAAGAAGCAUUUCAGUUUAAAGCUUUGUAAAUUUGAACAGGGAAAACAGGUAGAGAAAAACGGGACUCCAUGUCGCCAUCUGGUGGCACAAAGUUAUAUUGCACAUACAACACAUAUAAAUCGCUUUUUCUUUACCAGUCUAGCCGAUUCCUCUAUCUUCCUGUCUCUUAUUCCAUGACAGAGGCUCUGAGGGUUUUUUGUGUGGUAAAGCUUGCCAUGCAUGUUCUGCAGCAGGCUACACAUGCUGCAUUACUCUUCUGCCAGUAGCUUUUUUAAAAAAAAAUAUUUAAAAGCUGCUCUGUACUCUAGAACAGGCAGUUAGUUACUAGCAACUUUCCUCUUCUUAAAUCAUUUUUACAUAUAUACCAUACUUGUAACUAUAAACACUAGCAGUAAAUAUUUCAAAGAGCUGUAUCUGGAAGGAACCAACAAGUCAUUCUUUAUCACACACCAUGCCUAUCUGUGGCAAAUUUCACCUACCAAGAUACUAAGCCAGAGGUAGGCAACCUAAGGCUCGUGGGCUGGAUGCGGCUCAAUCGCCUUCUAAAUCCGGCCCAUGGACGGUCCGGGAAUCGGCAUGUCUUUACAUAGUAGAAUGUGUCCUUUUAUUUAAAAUGCAUCUCUGGGUUAUCUGUGGGGCAUAGGAAUUAGUUGAUUUUUUUCUUCAAAAUAUAGUCCGGCCCAUGACAUGGUCUGAGGGAUGGUGGACCGGCUCACGGCUGAAAAAGGUUGCUGACCCCUGUACUAAGCAGAGGAACACUUGUUUUCAGUUGCAUAGGCAGCUCAAUAUGUCCCUCAAAACAACAUGAAAUGCUUACCUAUGUUCCAUCACUUUGUUUCUUGGAACUUCCUUCCAAAACUGACCCAGUUCUUGUGUUCCUGUUCCAGAACACUGCUCCAUUUCUGCUGCCAUAAUCAAAAAACGGUCUUGCAGGGAAGCUGCACAACCUGUUUAAACAACAUGACAAUUUUACUUCCUUUGGAUUAAAGCAGUUAUUUCAAAAGUUUAUAGACUACGAGCAAAAAAAUCCACACCCCUGACUAUACCUACCAGUACAUAUACAAACAGCUAGUUUGUUACUGAAGAUAUGCAACAAUUAGAAGCACUGAACAAAAUUUGCCAAUUCACAAAAGUUAUGAAAGAGUAGAAGAUAAAUUCAGAGAUUAAAAUGUAAAACUAUAAAGGCUGUACCUGCAAGAAAGCCACUUGCUGCCAUCCUUCUGAAACCUUGUUGGAUUUGUCCCCUCAAAUGAGGCUUCCAUGCCUACAAAUUUCACCCCUUCAUUUAUAGGUGCCCCCCUUAAUCUCAAUCUACAAGGUGCCCCUUGUAAUUGGCAGACUUUAUCUACUCAGCAAAUUUUAUUCACUUUGGUCAAAAGUGGGCAUGGGUGGGUAGGUAGGUGAUAGUUUUGUUGUUGUUUUUUUAAAAAAUAACAAAAAAUCCCCAUAAUAGUAGCAGAGAAAGGCAGAAAGAAUCAUUUCUCCGAAGUGGGAUUCAGACUUUGUGUCAAUCUGAAGUACUGUGGUGUGAAUUGGGCUGUUUUCCAAAGCAUGAAUGUGGGUUCAAAUUGCAUCCUGUAACUUGUGUUCAGAUCUCGUAACAAGCCCUGGUGGACAUAAGCUAAUUGUAGGGUCAUGAAAAUACCCAGAUCUACAGCAGAUUCAUGGGGCAUAUACUGGUAAAUAAUUCGGGAUGAAUUUAUUUUACCAUAUACCUAUCACACAGCUGUCCUAAAAUAAAUUCUAAAAUCUAGUUGCUGUAAUUUUUCAAACACAAGUGGUAUACAUUCUAAGUCUCUCACUCCCUCCCCCCCCCCACAUUUUUAUAGGAUCCAGUAUAUUUUGAAUUCUUAAAUUCUCUAGGGCAGGGCUCAAUAUGUUUACACUAUGCACAAACAAAAAAGAAUCAAAUGAUGUGUGUGUGUGUGUGUGUGUGUGUGUGUGUGUAUGAGAUAGCAACAUCAAUCCAAGUGCACUCCUAAUCAUUCUACAAAAUAACUCAAAUAUAUUUAUGGUACAUCAGUAAGGCUGCUACUUAUCUGAAAUAUGUCCCUAAAUGUCAAAGCUUUGAUAAGCAAAAAAAUGGUCAUUUAAAUAGUACACAACUUGAAUCCGAGGCCUCUAACAGUAUAUUUAUUUGUUAAUCAGUAGCUAACUUUUUGCAUAUUUACAGGAAGCAUGAUGAACAAUAGAAUUUUUAGAAACAGGCUAGUAAUGAUAGAGGUUUAUAAAGAGAUUGACCAAUGAACUUUAUUAGGGUUUGUUUUGUUCAAAUUUUGGCCUAUGGAAUUCUACCUAUAAGGGACUGCAAACAGGCCUCAUCUGGGGAUGAGUGAAAAGGUUGAACUGGGAGAUUUGGACUAGACAGAAGCAGUCAUAUGAAAUCUGAAGUUAUUUGGUUUCAUGGGGUCACGAAGAGUCGGAAACGACUAAACAACAACAAAUGCUUAUGUUCUAGUACAUGUACAUAGAAUUCCAGCUGUCAGUAAUGUACAUUACAGAACUUGUUUAUUUCAUCCAUACAAUAGUGUACAAGAUUUUACUUACCUCCAUGAAGAGAUACUAUUAUAUCUAGUGAUGUGCCUGGUUCACAGCUGCUGUUACUUGGCUUCACUCUGUACUUGUCAGGAGCAGUUGUUCUAACCUAAACAAAGUGUAACUGUAUUAAAUGCUACCAGUUUUCUUAUUUAACAAGGUAGAAGACUAGAUUCUGCUCACAACUUACCAGCAGGACAAAAAAUUGAUUAGUAUUCUCCAUUUGUGUUAUUUUCCUUUUGAACACUAAUCUCCUAUUUAACUUCAGCAAAAUGCCAAACUUUACUCUCCCAAGUGUGUGUGUGUGUGUGUGGGGGUAUCAGGCUUGGGGGAACCCCAAAGUUUGCAAUGGGGACUUGGCAUGCACAGUGGCCACAUAAUGCUGUGUGUGUGAGGGAGAGAGAGAGAGUGCAAUAGCACAAAGAGGGAAGUACAGGAUGCAAAAUCAGCAAGAGUUCUGGGAACUUUCUGCAUGUUUACUCAACAGGAAGAUAUGGGUGCCAGACUGUAACCCUGAACAAGAACACUUCACACUAACCUUUUAUUGUUGAUACCACUUAUCCAUAACAAAUAACCAAUGAUAACACCCAAUUAUUCUUAAAUGUAAUCUAAGUAAUGAAUUAUGUAAAUUAAGCCAAAGAAAACAAUAUACUCUUCUGCUCUCAACUCACUGUACUGCUAAUUCUUCAUUAGGACACCUCAAGUUCUAGUAUAAUGGGAGAGUAAGAUCUCCUUCUCACUCUUUCCAUGUAAGUUUUACACACGUUUCCAUAUUAGCUUUAUAAACUGCAUAUCAUGUUCUUCCUUGGGGUAUCUUUCCUGAUAUUUCACUAUUAUCUGGCAUUUCACUGCAAUAUUAAAGUGACAAACAUUUGAUGAGAUCCAGUUAUACAGUAUAAUAUAAAAAAUAUAUAGUUUAUCUAGUCCUGGUUUGACAGUUUUGUCAGCUUGGCAUAGAAAGUUAUGCAUACCUUCUGAAAACCAUUUCAUCAGCUAUUAUGGUUACUAUUCAGUCAGGUUAAUCACCACAUAAACACAAUAUUUACCUUAAAUGCCACUGUAUUUUUGGUCACAUUUGUGAGAACUAUCAAGCAUUUCUUCUCUCCAGUUUCUUUGGACCCAAAAUGCAGUUCUUCUGCUGGACUAAUGAAAAAUCACAAAUUUGUAUUAAAGUAUUUGCAUUACAGGUUUACAAACUUCAUCCAUUCUCUUAAAGUUUCUGCUUAUUUAGAACACUAUCUGUCAGUUAACAGGCUCUAACCCAAUCCUUCAACGUAUACUGUUAAAUGUCAAAUACUUUUAACAGUCCUUUCAGUGUGAUUUUCACUUGAAAAGCAAUUCAUACGUGUAUUUUACUCAUAUCAUUUUGUGUUCCAAGUUUUCAGAAAUGUGUUUUUUUUUGUAAAAUACACAUGUAUUUUAACAAAGUAUCAUGAAGCAUCAACAAGCCAAGGGCAAAACAACUAUUUGUCAUCUUUUUGGGUAAGUAAUAUAUAUAUAUAUAUGUAUGGUGUUACCUGACAUGAAAUCACAUCACUAGUCCAUCUAGCUCAGUACUGUCUACUCUGAAUGGCAGCAACUCUCCAAACGCUUUCACAGCCCUACUACCGGAUAUAUUUUUUAAACUGAAGAUACAUAACAUACAUAACAUAACUAGGCUGAAAUAAUGAAAUAAUCCUUUUCUGGAAGACAAGUGGAAGUGAUGAAAUUUCAAUCAUUCAUUUAUAAUCACAUGAAGAAUUUAUUUUAGUGACAAAAUCAAACGCUAGAAGUUCUGAAUAAUGUUUCUUAGGUUGGAAUGUUUCUAGGCCAUAGAGUUCCAAUAAAUCCACUUUCUAAAAAUUAUCUUCAAUUACCUGCUCAGAAACCCAUGUGGUACAAACUUCAGAUGUAAUCAACAUCACAAUAUAAUGCAACUGCUACAGAUUUUCCACUGCUUCCCCAAAAUCUAGAUUGAUACCAAUUUGUAUAAACAAAAACUUUAAUUCAAAUUUCUAAUGAAACAGUCACAUUUCCAAAUUCUUAUGACACAUCAGGAUAUUUUCUACAUAUUUUAUGUUACAGCAUAUGUAAAAGUAAACAUCUAUAUUACAACAGGUGUUACAGUUCAAUUUACAGAUUUUUCUGCACUAUACAAAUUAACAAAGUAAUAAUUAAAGCCAGAGCAAUUUUGUAGAUCUCUUUUUUCUCCAUUCAAGGUAUAGUAUUUGACUCCCACACUAUAACUACCUAACACUAACUGACUACAUAAUAGGAUACUGCUGUGAGGAGGGGGGGGGGGGAAGGCAGCUACAAUACACUCAUAAAACGUGUAUCCAUC